Molecule: ribosomal RNA, 253 nt
Filed under: Prevotella bivia
Lineage: Bacteria; Pseudomonadati; Bacteroidota; Bacteroidia; Bacteroidales; Prevotellaceae
Description: partial 16S ribosomal RNA
Rfam family: Bacterial small subunit ribosomal RNA
Source: RNAcentral
UACGGAAGGUUCGGGCGUUAUCCGGAUUUAUUGGGUUUAAAGGGAGCGUAGGCCGUUUGGUAAGCGUGUUGUGAAAUGUAGUAGCUCAACUUCUAGAUUGCAGCGCGAACUGUCAGACUUGAGUGCGCACAACGUAGGCGGAAUUCAUGGUGUAGCGGUGAAAUGCUUAGAUAUCAUGAAGAACUCCGAUUGCGAAGGCAGCUUACGGGAGCGCAACUGACGCUGAAGCUCGAAGGUGCGGGUAUCGAACAGG